CUACCCUACGGGACGCAGCAGUAGGGAAUUUUCGUCAAUGGGCGCAAGCCUGAACGAGCAAUGCCGCGUGAACGAGGAAGGUCUUCGGAUCGUAAAGUUCUGUUGAAGGGGAAAAAGAGCGGAGAGAGGAAAUGAACUCCGAUUGAUAUUACCCUUCGAGGAAGUCACGGCUAACUACGUGCCAGCAGCCGCGGUAAUACGUAGGUGGCAAGCGUUGUCCGGAUUUACUGGGUGUAAAGGGCGUGCAGCCGGGAGUGCAAGUCAGAUGUGAAAUCCCGCGGCUCAACCGCGGAACUGCAUUUGAA
This 305-nucleotide ribosomal RNA is filed under the name uncultured bacterium. RNAcentral describes it as "bacterial SSU rRNA". It matches the Rfam family "Bacterial small subunit ribosomal RNA", at positions 334 to 631 of the family's 1533-position model. The record is from RNAcentral.